This 468-nucleotide ribosomal RNA is filed under the name uncultured bacterium. Its description in RNAcentral is "partial 16S ribosomal RNA". It matches the Rfam family "Bacterial small subunit ribosomal RNA", at positions 28 to 507 of the family's 1533-position model. The record is from RNAcentral.
GACGAACGCUGGCGGCGUGCUUAACACAUGCAAGUCGAACGGAAAGGCCCUGCUUUUGUGGGGUGCUCGAGUGGCGAACGGGUGAGUAACACGUGAGUAACCUGCCCUUGACUUUGGGAUAACUUCAGGAAACUGGGGCUAAUACCGGAUAGGAGCUCCUGCUGCAUGGUGGGGGUUGGAAAGUUUCGGCGGUUGGGGAUGGACUCGCGGCUUAUCAGCUUGUUGGUGGGGUAGUGGCUUACCAAGGCUUUGACGGGUAGCCGGCCUGAGAGGGUGACCGGACACAUUGGGACUGAGAUACGGCCCAGACUCCUACGGGAGGCAGCAGUGGGGAAUAUGGCACAAUGGGCGGAAGCCUGAUGCAGCAACGCCGCGUGCGGGAUGACGGCCUUCGGGUUGUAAACCGCUUUCGCCUGUGACGAAGCGUGAGUGACGGUAAUGGGUAAAGAAGCACCGGCUAACUACGUG